RNAcentral lists this ribosomal RNA (1246 nucleotides) under Candidatus Phytoplasma citri. Its description in RNAcentral is "bacterial SSU rRNA". It matches the Rfam family "Bacterial small subunit ribosomal RNA", at positions 154 to 1399 of the family's 1533-position model. Lineage: Bacteria; Bacillati; Mycoplasmatota; Mollicutes; Acholeplasmatales; Acholeplasmataceae. The record is from RNAcentral.
GAACGACUGCUAAGACUGGAUAGGAUGAUAAAAGGCAUCUUUUAUCUUUUAAAAGACCUAGUAAUAGGUAUGCUUUAGGAGGGGCUUGCGCCAUAUUAGUUAGUUGGUAGGGUAAUGGCCUACCAAGACGAUGAUGUGUAGCUGGACUGAGAGGUUGAACAGCCACAUUGGGACUGAGACACGGCCCAAACUCCUACGGGAAGCAGCAGUAGGGAAUUUUCGGCAAUGGAGGAAACUCUGACCGAGCAACGCCGCGUGAAUGACGAAGUACUUCGGUAUGUAAAGUUCUUUUAUCAAGGAAGAAAAGCAUAUGGCGAACCAUUUGUUUGCCGGUACUUGAUGAAUAAGCCCCGGCUAAUUAUGUGCCAGCAACCGCGGUAAGACAUAAGGGGCAAGUGUUAUCCGGAAUUAUUGGGCGUAAAGGGUGCGUAGGCGGUCUAGUAAGUCAGUGGUGUAAUGGCAACGCUUAACGUUGUCCGGCUAUUGAAACUGCUAAACUUGAGUUAGAUAGAGGCGAGUGGAAUUCCAUGUGUAGCGGUAAAAUGCGUAAAUAUAUGGAGGAACACCAGAGGCGUAGGCGGCUCGCUGGGUCUUAACUGACGCUGAGGCACGAAAGCGUGGGGAGCAAACAGGAUUAGAUACCCUGGUAGUCCACGCCGUAAACGAUGAGUACUAAGUGUCGGGUUAAACCGGUACUGAAGUUAACACAUUAAGUACUCCGCCUGAGUAGUACGUACGCAAGUAUGAAACUUAAAGGAAUUGACGGGACUCCGCACAAGCGGUGGAUCAUGUUGUUUAAUUCGAAGAUACCCGAAAAACCUUACCAGGUCUUGACAUGUUUUUGCAAAAUGAUAGUAAUAUCGUGGAGGUUACCAGAAACACAGGUGGUGCAUGGUUGUCGUCAGCUCGUGUCGUGAGAUGUUAGGUUAAGUCCUAAAACGAGCGAAACCCUUAUCGUUAGUUGCCAGCACGUUAUGGUGGGGACUUUAACAAGACUGCCAAUGAUAAAUUGGAGGAAGGUGAGGAUCACGUCAAAUCAGCAUGCCCCUUAUGACCUGGGCUACAAACGUGAUACAAUGGCUGUUACAAAGGGUAGCUGAAACGCAAGUUCUUGGCCAAUCCCCAAAAACAGUCCCAGUCCGGAUUGAAGUCUGCAACUCGACUUCAUGAAGUUGGAAUCGCUAGUAAUCGCGAAUCAGCAUGUCGCGGUGAAUACGUUCACGGGGUUUGUACACACCGCCCGUCA